GUGGCUGCUCAUUUGAACGCUACGGUUGACCGCUGCGGCAAUAGACACUGCGAGUAGUUCCCAGUAGCAAGAACUGAAGAAAGUUGCGGAGUAUUCAGUGAAAUAUCUUUUGGGCGUAGGCUGCUGUCACAGACUAACAGGAGCAUUUAGAUCACAUAAGAUUCAAUGCUACAUAUGGAAGCUUAGGAACGUUUCCGUGAGAAGAUCAAGAUACAGUGGUCCUUGCAAUUACAGAUUGAAAACAUGGCGGUACCUAGAAAUGGUGUUUGAGAGUACAACAAAAGUUACAAGAGAGACCCGGACCUCUUCCUCAAUGACAUCACCAAAGCAAUGCAAUGGCACAUUUGCGACAUCCAAAUUUGGUUUCAAGACACAAAAUUUUGAACCAAACCGUAUCUGCUGUUGGUGUCCAUGAAACUAAGUCCAUUCAACUUUUUUUUUUCAAUUCGAGUACAAUUAAGGAAAUGUUUUAUUCUGGAAAUGAACCUAUGUAUUUUAGAUGUGUGUAGAAGCGAUAUUGAGCACAAAA
Raphanus sativus (radish) is the source of this 529-nucleotide long non-coding RNA. RefSeq lists it as uncharacterized. The record is from RefSeq and is a predicted model, not a curated record. The transcript has 3 exons. NCBI's taxonomy places the organism in Eukaryota, Viridiplantae, Streptophyta, Magnoliopsida, Brassicales, Brassicaceae.